UAGGCUGGACACGCAGUCGGUUCGCGCUGUCCGCCAGGCAGCCGCGUCGUAAGAGGGAACCCGGUGGAAGUCCGGGACUGCCCCGCAGCGGUGAGUGGGAACGACCGCCGUCAUACGCACUGGACGCACCGCGUCCGGGAAGCGACGGUCAGUAGGAGCCUCGUACCGGUACGUACGUCAUACGUACGGCCAAUGGUUCACGGCCACGGCCACGAGGUGUGCCCACAAGUCCGAAGACCUGCCACUGCCCGUGUGCGAGC
RNAcentral lists this non-coding RNA (260 nucleotides) under Streptomyces sp. The record is from RNAcentral. Lineage: Bacteria; Bacillati; Actinomycetota; Actinomycetes; Kitasatosporales; Streptomycetaceae.